RNAcentral lists this ribosomal RNA (800 nucleotides) under Bacillus sp. (in: firmicutes). RNAcentral's name for it is "bacterial SSU rRNA". It matches the Rfam family "Bacterial small subunit ribosomal RNA", at positions 109 to 895 of the family's 1533-position model. The record is from RNAcentral. Lineage: Bacteria; Bacillati; Bacillota; Bacilli; Caryophanales; Bacillaceae.
AGUAACACGUGGGUAACCUGCCUGUAAGACUGGGAUAACUCCGGGAAACCGGGGCUAAUACCGGAUGCUUGUUUGAACCGCAUGGUUCAAACAUAAAAGGUGGCUUCGGCUACCACUUACAGAUGGACCCGCGGCGCAUUAGCUAGUUGGUGAGGUAAUGGCUCACCAAGGCGACGAUGCGUAGCCGACCUGAGAGGGUGAUCGGCCACACUGGGACUGAGACACGGCCCAGACUCCUACGGGAGGCAGCAGUAGGGAAUCUUCCGCAAUGGACGAAAGUCUGACGGAGCAACGCCGCGUGAGUGAUGAAGGUUUUCGGAUCGUAAAGCUCUGUUGUUAGGGAAGAACAAGUACCGUUCGAAUAGGGCGGUACCUUGACGGUACCUAACCAGAAAGCCACGGCUAACUACGUGCCAGCAGCCGCGGUAAUACGUAGGUGGCAAGCGUUGUCCGGAAUUAUUGGGCGUAAAGGGCUCGCAGGCGGUUUCUUAAGUCUGAUGUGAAAGCCCCCGGCUCAACCGGGGAGGGUCAUUGGAAACUGGGGAACUUGAGUGCAGAAGAGGAGAGUGGAAUUCCACGUGUAGCGGUGAAAUGCGUAGAGAUGUGGAGGAACACCAGUGGCGAAGGCGACUCUCUGGUCUGUAACUGACGCUGAGGAGCGAAAGCGUGGGGAGCGAACAGGAUUAGAUACCCUGGUAGUCCACGCCGAACGAUGAGUGCUAAGUGUUAGGGGGUUUCCGCCCCUUAGUGCUGCAGCUAACGCAUUAAGCACUCCGCCUGGGGAGUACGGUCGCAAGACU